CCUACGGGCGGCUGCAGUGGGGAAUAUUGGACAAUGGGGGGAACCCUGAUCCAGCCAUGCCGCGUGUGUGAAGAAGGCCCUCGGGUUGUAAAGCACUUUCAGUGAGGAAGAACGCCUGGUGGUUAAUACCCAUCAGGAAAGACAUCACUCACAGAAGAAGCACCGGCUAACUCCGUGCCAGCAGCCGCGGUAAUACGGAGGGUGCGAGCGUUAAUCGGAAUUACUGGGCGUAAAGCGCGCGUAGGUGGCUUGAUAAGCCGGUUGUGAAAGCCCCGGGCUCAACCUGGGAACGGCAUCCGGAACUGUCGAGCUAGAGUGCAGGAGAGGAAGGUAGAAUUCCCGGUGUAGCGGUGAAAUGCGUAGAGAUCGGGAGGAAUACCAGUGGCGAAGGCGGCCUUCUGGACUGACACUGACACUGAGGUGCGAAAGCGUGGGUAGCAAACAGGAUUAGAUACCCGAGUAGUC
RNAcentral lists this ribosomal RNA (465 nucleotides) under Vreelandella stevensii. Its description in RNAcentral is "partial 16S ribosomal RNA". It matches the Rfam family "Bacterial small subunit ribosomal RNA", at positions 338 to 795 of the family's 1533-position model. The record is from RNAcentral. Lineage: Bacteria; Pseudomonadati; Pseudomonadota; Gammaproteobacteria; Oceanospirillales; Halomonadaceae.